AGGGUUUGAUCAUGGCUCAGAACGUACGCUGGCGGCACGCCUAAUACAUGCAAGUCGAACGAAGUAGCAAUACUUAGUGGCAGACGGGUGAGUAACAUGUGGGUAUCUUCCCUUUGGUGAGGAAUAACACGAGGAAACUUGUGCUAAUACCUCAUAAGUCUUUACGGAGAAAGCUUUAUGCGCCAUUGGAUGAGCCCGCACUUGAUUAGUUUGUUGGUGGGGUAAUGGCCUACCAAGACUGUGAUCAAUAGCUGAUUUGAGAGGAUGAUCAGCCACAUUGGGACUGAGACACGGCCCAAACUCCUACGGGAGGCAGCAGUAGGGAAUCUUGCACAAUGGAGGAAACUCUGAUGCAGCGAUGCCGCGUGAGUGAAGAAGGCCUUUGGGUUGUAAAGCUCUUUCGUCGGGGAAGAAAAUGACUGUACCCGAAUAAGAAGGUCCGGCUAACUUCGUGCCAGCAGCCGCGGUAAUACGAAGGGACCUAGCGUAGUUCGGAAUUACUGGGCUUAAAGAGUUCGUAGGUGGUUAAAAAAGUUGGUGGUGAAAUC
Molecule: ribosomal RNA, 548 nt
Filed under: uncultured bacterium
Lineage: Bacteria
Description: bacterial SSU rRNA
Rfam family: Bacterial small subunit ribosomal RNA
Source: RNAcentral